RNAcentral lists this transfer RNA (72 nucleotides) under Verrucomicrobiia bacterium DG1235. Its description in RNAcentral is "Verrucomicrobiae bacterium DG1235 tRNA". It matches the Rfam family "tRNA". From Rfam's summary of the family: Transfer RNA (tRNA) molecules are approximately 80 nucleotides in length. Their secondary structure includes four short double-helical elements and three loops (D, anti-codon, and T loops). Further hydrogen bonds mediate the characteristic L-shaped molecular structure. tRNAs have two regions of fundamental functional importance: the anti-codon, which is responsible for specific mRNA codon recognition, and the 3' end, to which the tRNAs corresponding amino acid is attached (by aminoacyl-tRNA synthetases). tRNAs cope with the degeneracy of the genetic code in two manners: having more than one tRNA (with a specific anti-codon) for a particular amino acid; and 'wobble' base-pairing, i.e. permitting non-standard base-pairing at the 3rd anti-codon position. The record is from Rfam by way of RNAcentral. Lineage: Bacteria; Pseudomonadati; Verrucomicrobiota; Verrucomicrobiia.
UGCCCUGUAGCUCAGUGGUAGAGCAGGUGACUGUUAAUCACUUGGUCGUUGGUUCGAAUCCAACCGGGGCAG